Molecule: ribosomal RNA, 440 nt
Filed under: uncultured bacterium
Lineage: Bacteria
Description: partial 16S ribosomal RNA
Rfam family: Bacterial small subunit ribosomal RNA
Source: RNAcentral
CCUACGGGAGGCAGCAGUAGGGAAUAUUGCUCAAUGGGGGAAACCCUGAAGCAGCAACGCCGCGUGGAGGAUGAAGGUUUUCGGAUUGUAAACUCCUUUUGUUAGAGAAGAUAAUGACGGUAUCUAACGAAUAAGCACCGGCUAACUCCGUGCCAGCAGCCGCGGUAAUACGGGGGGUGCAAGCGUUACUCGGAAUCACUGGGCGUAAAGAGCGCGUAGGCGGGAUAGCAAGUCAGAUGUGAAAUCCUAUGGCUUAACCAUAGAACUGCAUUUGAAACUGUUAUUCUAGAGUAUGGGAGAGGUAGGUGGAAUUCUUGGUGUAGGGGUAAAAUCCGUAGAUAUCAAGAGGAAUACUCAUUGCGAAGGCGACCUACUAGAACAUAACUGACGCUGAUGCGCGAAAGCGUGGGGAGCAAACAGGAUUAGAUACCCUAGUAGUC